CCUACGGGGGGCAGCAGUGGGGAAUAUUGGACAAUGGGGGGAACCCUGAUCCAGCCAUGCCGCGUGUGUGAAGAAGGCCCUCGGGUUGGAAAGCACUUUCAGUGAGGAAGAACGCCUGGUGGUUAAUACCCAUCAGGAAAGACAUCACUCACAGAAGAAGCACCGGCUAACUCCGUGCCAGCAGCCGCGGUAAUACGGAGGGUGCGAGCGUUAAUCGGAAUUACUGGGCGUAAAGCGCGCGUAGGUGGCUUGAUAAGCCGGUUGUGAAAGCCCCGGGCUCAACCUGGGAACGGCAUCCGGAACUGUCAAGCUAGAGUGCAGGAGAGGAAGGUAGAAUUCCCGGUGUAGCGGUGAAAUGCGUAGAGAUCGGGAGGAAUACCAGUGGCGAAGGCGGCCUUCUGGACUGACACUGACACUGAGGUGCGAAAGCGUGGGUAGCAAACAGGAUUAGAUACCCCUGUAGUC
Molecule: ribosomal RNA, 465 nt
Filed under: Vreelandella stevensii
Lineage: Bacteria; Pseudomonadati; Pseudomonadota; Gammaproteobacteria; Oceanospirillales; Halomonadaceae
Description: partial 16S ribosomal RNA
Rfam family: Bacterial small subunit ribosomal RNA
Source: RNAcentral